This 624-nucleotide long non-coding RNA is filed under the name Ananas comosus (pineapple). Its description in RNAcentral is "long non-coding RNA (ACOM_LNC007947)". Lineage: Eukaryota; Viridiplantae; Streptophyta; Magnoliopsida; Poales; Bromeliaceae. The record is from RNAcentral.
UAUGCUUUUCUAUAUAUAAAAUUAUAUAAUUAUAUAUAAUUUUUAUUUAUUUGUUAUAUUAUAAAAUUAAAAUUAUAUUUUCAUAUUUAUAUUUAUAAUUAUAUCUUUAUAUAUUAAUUUUAUUUUUACGGAGGAUAUUUUCGAUAGUGUUUGUAUGCUUAUGUGAGAAUAAGAUUACUGGACUGAUAAAAUUUACGUAGAAUGGUAAUUUUACCCUUAAAUAUUUUAUGAAAUAUUUAAUAAAUAUUUNUAAAAUUAUAUAAUUAUAUAUAAUUUUUAUUUAUUUGUUAUAUUAUAAAAUUAAAAUUAUAUUUUCAUAUUUAUAUUUAUAAUUAUAUCUUUAUAUAUUAAUUUUAUCUCUAUUUUCAUACAUUGAAUUAAAUUUCAUAUAAUAUUCAAAGGUAAAAUUGUUAUUUUAUUUAACUUUUUAUCAAUCUAAUACCUCAUUCUAACAUAAACAUCUAAACACUAUCAGAAAUAUAUUACGAAAAUAAACAAAUAACAUCCAAACACGAAUUUAUCGUUGUUUUAGCUAAUGCCGAAAUAUUUCCUGUUCUUAGAAACAACAAAAACAAAAUUAUUCUGCAAAAUUUAGUUCUCGCGAAAAUGCAGGCUAAUAGUAUA